This 253-nucleotide ribosomal RNA is filed under the name uncultured bacterium. Its description in RNAcentral is "partial 16S ribosomal RNA". It matches the Rfam family "Bacterial small subunit ribosomal RNA", at positions 524 to 776 of the family's 1533-position model. The record is from RNAcentral.
UACGUAGGGCGCAAGCGUUAUCCGGAAUUAUUGGGCGUAAAGAGCUCGUAGGCGGUUUGUCGCGUCUGCUGUGAAAGACCGGGGCUCAACUCCGGUUCUGCAGUGGGUACGGGCAGACUAGAGUGCAGUAGGGGAGACUGGAAUUCCUGGUGUAGCGGUGAAAUGCGCAGAUAUCAGGAGGAACACCGAUGGCGAAGGCAGGUCUCUGGGCCGAUACUGACGCUGAGGAGCGAAAGCGUGGGGAGCGAACAGG